GUCAUGCAGCUAGUCCUAGCGCCAUUCCUAGCCUGUGUCUCCCCUCCUCCGCAUCAGACUCCACCUCUGGGAGCUCCCUUUGCAAGAAACCGUACCAGGGACAAGGGUCUUCCCUACAAGGCCAUGAAGCACGCAGAUAUCUCCUGCGGGAGGAAUCUCUUUCCGAGGGGCCAGGUACUCAGAAGACCACAGACAAGACCCAGCCCCAUGGCCUGCCCCAAAGAGUUCACAUCUCAUAAAUGAUGCUUGAAUAAUAACAAUAAUAGUAACAGCUCCCACAUGCUGAGUGUGCGCUGCUAGGACACAGCAUGUGACAGGAAUUCAGUGCCUGAAUGAAUGAGCCAAUAAAUUAAACUUUCUC
This 361-nucleotide long non-coding RNA is filed under the name Homo sapiens (human). RNAcentral's name for it is "HSALNT0256423". Lineage: Eukaryota; Metazoa; Chordata; Mammalia; Primates; Hominidae. The record is from RNAcentral.